This 28-nucleotide non-coding RNA is filed under the name Homo sapiens (human). Lineage: Eukaryota; Metazoa; Chordata; Mammalia; Primates; Hominidae. The record is from RNAcentral.
UGUGAGUGAUUGGACUCGGCAUUUGCCU